Molecule: ribosomal RNA, 490 nt
Filed under: uncultured bacterium
Lineage: Bacteria
Description: partial 16S ribosomal RNA
Rfam family: Bacterial small subunit ribosomal RNA
Source: RNAcentral
AUUGAACGCUGGCGGCAGGCCUAACACAUGCAAGUCGAACGGUAACAGGAAGAAUCUUGCUUCUUUUCUUACGAGUGGCGGACGGGUGUGUUAUGUCUGGGAAACUGCCUGAUUGAGGGGGAUAACUACUGUAUACGGUAGCUAAUACCGCAUAACGUCUCAAUACCAAAAAUCCUUACCUUCGUUCCUCUUUCCUUCUUUUUUUCCCAGAUGGUAUUAGCUAGUAGGUUGGGUAACGUCUCACCUAGGCGACGAUCCCUAUCUGGUCUGAGAGGAUGACCAGCGACACUGGAACUGAGACACGGUCCAGACGCCUACGGGAGGCAGCAGUGGGGAAUAUUGGACAAUGGGGGAAAGCAUGAUGCAGCAAUGCCGCGUGUAUGAAGAAGGCCUUCGGGUUGUAAAGUACUUUAAGCGGGGAGGAAGGGAGUAAAGUUAAUACCUUUGCUGAUUGACGUUAACCGAAGAAGAAGCACCGGCUAACUACGUG